Molecule: long non-coding RNA, 668 nt
Organism: Camellia sinensis
Lineage: Eukaryota; Viridiplantae; Streptophyta; Magnoliopsida; Ericales; Theaceae
Source: RefSeq, a predicted model, not a curated record
GACCCUUAAAAAAUUAUUGUCAAAAUCUGAAUUUGCUUGAAGAAUAACACACUAUUGAGAGAUUCUCUUUGCUUUUGAUACAAUUUCGCAAUUUCUCUCUCUCUCUUUCUCUCUCUCUCAGACCCUCAAAUGUAUAUAUAUAGAUUGGUCUUCGCAUGUUUGGCAAUCGCAAGCAAAGACGCACGAGCACUGGAAUCGAAUCUGUUUCAUCAUUGAUUGCCCUUGAAUUGUGAUUAGAUGGUUUCCUGCUUUCCCUCAACGCCUAAGAAGUUGGCACAGACUGUAGUGUUCUUCCUUGCUGGUGCCUCUCUGUUUGCUGUCGGGGUGCAUCUUUCGUAUGUUAAUAUUGCACCUCAACAAGCUCGGACCAAAGCUCGUAAUGAUUUUGUUAAAGAGAGAUUGAGACAGAAAUAUGGAGAGAAAUAUGGCAAGUAAUCAAAAUGUGCAUGCUUGCUUGCUUGCUGCUCUAGGUACGCUUGAAAUUAAUGACCGCCUUGCCAAUUAAUUGGAUGUUCUUAUAGUUUGCAUGGUUCUAUUCCAUACAGUUAUUGAACUUCAUGAAGAAUUGACUGCCAUUAAAAGAAAACCACUGUGAUUUUAGAUUGGAAUCUUUUUGUAAUUAUUGUCGUUAAGAAUUAUGCAUGUCUCCUCUCUAUGGGUUGAACAUU